RNAcentral lists this ribosomal RNA (1623 nucleotides) under metagenome. Its description in RNAcentral is "bacterial LSU rRNA". It matches the Rfam family "Bacterial large subunit ribosomal RNA", at positions 1305 to 2925 of the family's 2925-position model. The record is from RNAcentral.
AGUAGCGAUAAUGAGAGUGGAAAACUUUCACACCGAAAAUCUAAGGUUUCCUGGGCAAGGCUCGUCCUCCCAGGGUAAGUCGGGUCCUAAGCCGAGGCCGAACAGGCGUAGGCGAUGGCAAACAGGUUUAAAAUUCCUGUACCAGUUGUCAGUGCGAUGGGAUGACGCAGAAAGCUAUGGUCAGCCCCCUGUUGGUGGGGGUCUAAGCAUAUAGGCGGGUUACUCAGGCAAAUCCGGGUAGCUAUUCAACGCUGAAGUGUGAAUGGGACGGGAGUCUUCGGACGAACAAACUGAUCGAUGCUCGGCUGCCAAGAAAAGUCUCUAAGCAUAACUGAUAAUUGCCCGUACCGCAAUCCGACACAGGUAGAUGAGGCGAGUAGCCUAAGGUGCGCGAGAGAACCGUGGUAAAGGAACUCGGCAAAUUAGCCCCGUAACUUCGGGAGAAGGGGUGCCUGCGUGAGCAGGCCGCAGUGAAGAGGCCCAAGCGACUGUUUAACAAAAACACAGCACUCUGCUAAAUCGUAAGAUGACGUAUAGGGUGUGACACGUGCCCGGUGCCGGAAGGUUAACAGGAGAGGUUAGUCAGGAAUCCUGGCGAAGCUUUGAAUCGAAGCCCCGGUAAACGGCGGCCGUAACAAUAACGGUCCUAAGGUAGCGAAAUUCCUUGUCGGGUAAGUUCCGACCUGCACGAACCGUGUAACGACUUGGGCACUGUCUCUACCACGGACUCGGCGAAAUUGGACUUCUGGUGAAGAUACCAGAUACCCGCAGCUAGACGGAAAGACCCCAUGAACCUUUACUGCAACUUGGCAUUGGGUUUCGCCUGCGCAUGUGCAGGAUAGGUGGGAGACAUUGAAGUCGGAGCGCUAGCUUCGAUGGAGUCAACCUUGACAUACCACCCUUGUUCAGUUGGAAUUCUAACCUAGCGCCCUGAAUCGGGUGCAGGAACAGUGCCAGGGGGCCAGUUUGACUGGGGCGGUCGCCUCCCAAACAGUAACGGAGGCACACAAUGGUUCCCUCAGCAUGGUCGGUAAUCAUGCGUCGAGUGCAAAGGCAUAAGGGAGCUUAACUGCGAGACAAACGAGUCGAGCAGAUGCGAAAGCAGGUCUUAGUGAUCCGGCGGUUGGAAAUGGAACUGCCGUCGCUCAAUGGAUAAAAGGUACUCUGGGGAUAACAGGCUUAUCGCGCCCGAGCGUUCACAGCGACGGCGCGGUUUGGCACCUGAUGUCGGCUCGUCGCAUCCUGGGGCUGAAGAAGGUCCCAAGGGUUUGGCUGUUCGCCAAUUAAAGCGGCACGCGAGCUGGGUUCAGAACGUCGUGAGACAGUUCGGUCCCUAUCUACUGUGGGCGCACGAUAUUUGAGAGGAGCUUUUCUUAGUACGAGAGGACCGGAAAGGACGUACCACUGGUGUACCAGUUGUUCUGCCAAGGGCAUCGCUGGGUAGCCAAGUACGGAACGGAUAACCGCUGAAAGCAUCUAAGCGGGAAGCCAGCCUCAAGAUUAGAUAUCGCGUGGGGUUUACCCCCCUGAAGGAUCCUUGAAGACUACAAGGUCGAUAGGUCACAGAUGUAAGCGUAGCAAUGCGUUCAGUCGAGUGAUACUAAUAAUCCGUGUGGCUUGAUA